Molecule: ribosomal RNA, 496 nt
Filed under: uncultured bacterium
Lineage: Bacteria
Description: partial 16S ribosomal RNA
Rfam family: Bacterial small subunit ribosomal RNA
Source: RNAcentral
AUGCACGCUGGCGGCGUGCCUAAUACAUGCAAGUCGAGCGAACAGAUGAGGAGCUUGCUCCUCUGACGUUAGCGGCGGACGGGUGAGUAACACGUGGAUAACCUACCUAUAAGACUGGGAUAACUUCGGGAAACCGGAGUUAAUACCGGAUAAUAUAUUGAACCGCAUGGUUCAAUAGUGAAAGACGGUUUUGCUGUCACUUAUAGAUGGAUCCGCGCCGCAUUAGCUAGUUGGUAAGGUAACGGCUUACCAAGGCAACGAUGCGUAGCCGACCUGAGAGGGUGAUCGGCCACACUGGAACUGAGACACGGUCCAGACUCCUACGGGAGGCAGCAGUAGGGAAUCUUCCGCAAUGGGCGAAAGCCUGACGGAGCAACGCCGCGUGAGUGAUGAAGGUCUUCGGAUCGUAAAACUCUGUUAUUAGGGAAGAACAAAUGUGUAAGUAACUAUGCACGUCUUGACGGUACCUAAUCAGAAAGCCACGGCUAACUACGUG